GCUUAACACAUGCAAGUCGAGGGGCAGCAUGGUCUUAGCUUGCUAAGGCCGAUGGCGACCGGCGCACGGGUGAGUAACACGUGUCCAACCUGCCGUCUACUCUUGGACAGCCUUCUGAAAGGAAGAUUAAUACAAGAUGGCAUCAUGAGUCCACAUGUUCACAUGAUUAAAGGUAUUCCGGUAGACGAUGGGGAUGCGUUCCAUUAGAUAGUAGGCGGGGUAACGGCCCACCUAGUCUUCGAUGGAUAGGGGUUCUGAGAGGAAGGUCCCCCACAUUGGAACUGAGACACGGUCCAAACUCCUACGGGAGGCAGCAGUGAGGAAUAUUGGUCAAUGGGCGAGAGCCUGAACCAGCCAAGUAGCGUGAAGGAUGACUGCCCUAUGGGUUGUAAACUUCUUUUAUAAAGGAAUAAAGUCGGGUAUGCAUACCCGUUUGCAUGUACUUUAUGAAUAAGGAUCGGCUAACUCCGUGCCAGCAGCCGCGGUAAUACGGAGGAUCCGAGCGUUAUCCGGAUUUAUUGGGUUUAAAGGGAGCGUAGAUGGAUGUUUAAGUCAGUUGUGAAAGUUUGCGGCUCAACCGUAAAAUUGCAGUUGAUACUGGAUAUCUUGAGUGCAGUUGAGGCAGGCGGAAUUCGUGGUGUAGCGGUGAAAUGCUUAGAUAUCACGAAGAACUCCGAUUGCGAAGGCAGCCUGCUAAGCUGCAACUGACAUUGAGGCUCGAAAGUGUGGGUAUCAAACAGGAUUAGAUACCCUGGUAGUCCACACGGUAAACGAUGAAUACUCGCUGUUUGCGAUAUACAGCAAGCGGCCAAGCGAAAGCGUUAAGUAUUCCACCUGGGGAGUACGCCGGCAACGGUGAAACUCAAAGGAAUUGACGGGGGCCCGCACAAGCGGAGGAACAUGUGGUUUAAUUCGAUGAUACGCGAGGAACCUUACCCGGGCUUAAAUUGCAGAUGAAUUACGGUGAAAGCCGUAAGCCGCAAGGCAUCUGUGAAGGUGCUGCAUGGUUGUCGUCAGCUCGUGCCGUGAGGUGUCGGCUUAAGUGCCAUAACGAGCGCAACCCUUGUUGUCAGUUACUAACAGGUCAUGCUGAGGACUCUGACAAGACUGCCAUCGUAAGAUGUGAGGAAGGUGGGGAUGACGUCAAAUCAGCACGGCCCUUACGUCCGGGGCUACACACGUGUUACAAUGGGGGGUACAGAGGGCCGCUACCACGCGAGUGGAUGCCAAUCCCAAAAACCUCUCUCAGUUCGGACUGGAGUCUGCAACCCGACUCCACGAAGCUAGAUUCGCUAGUAAUCGCGCAUCAGCCACGGCGCGGUGAAUACGUUCCCGGGCCUUGUACACACCGCCCGUCAAGCCAUGGGAGCCGGGGGUACCUGAAGUGCGUAACCGCGAGGAGCGCCCUAGGGUAAAACUGGUGACUGGGGCUAAGUCAUAACAA
This 1444-nucleotide ribosomal RNA is filed under the name uncultured organism. RNAcentral describes it as "16S ribosomal RNA". It matches the Rfam family "Bacterial small subunit ribosomal RNA". The record is from RNAcentral.